RNAcentral lists this ribosomal RNA (452 nucleotides) under uncultured bacterium. Its description in RNAcentral is "partial 16S ribosomal RNA". It matches the Rfam family "Bacterial small subunit ribosomal RNA", at positions 28 to 507 of the family's 1533-position model. The record is from RNAcentral.
GAUGAACGCUGGUGGCGUGCCUAACACAUGCAAGUCGAGCGAUUCUCUUCGGAGAAGAGCGGCGGACGGGUGAGUAACGCGUGGGUAACCUGCCCUGUACACACGGAUAACAUACCGAAAGGUAUGCUAAUACGAGAUAACAUGCUUUUAUCGCAUGGUAGAAGUAUCAAAGCUUUUGCGGUACAGGAUGGACCCGCGUCUGAUUAGCUAGUUGGUGAGGUAACGGCUCACCAAGGCGACGAUCAGUAGCCGACCUGAGAGGGUGAUCGGCCACAUCGGAACUGAGACACGGUCCAAACUCCUACGGGAGGCAGCAGUGGGGAAUAUUGCACAAUGGGCGAAAGCCUGAUGCAGCAACGCCGCGUGAGCGAUGAAGGCCUUCGGGUCGUAAAGCUCUGUCCUCAAGGAAGAUAAUGACGGUACUUGAGGAGGAAGCCCCGGCUAACUACGUG